Molecule: ribosomal RNA, 638 nt
Filed under: Aspergillus brevipes
Lineage: Eukaryota; Fungi; Ascomycota; Eurotiomycetes; Eurotiales; Aspergillaceae
Description: eukaryotic LSU rRNA
Rfam family: Eukaryotic large subunit ribosomal RNA
Source: RNAcentral
GGUUGACCUCGGAUCAGGUAGGGAUACCCGCUGAACUUAAGCAUAUCAAUAAGCGGAGGAAAAGAAACCAACAGGGAUUGCCUCAGUAACGGCGAGUGAAGCGGCAAGAGCUCAAAUUUGAAAGCUGGCCCCCUCGGGGUCCGCGUUGUAAUUUGCAGAGGAUGCUUCGGGUGCAGCCCCCGUCUAAGUGCCCUGGAACGGGCCGUCAUAGAGGGUGAGAAUCCCGUCUGGGACGGGGUGUCUGCGUCCGUGUGAAGCUCCUUCGACGAGUCGAGUUGUUUGGGAAUGCAGCUCUAAAUGGGUGGUAAAUUUCAUCUAAAGCUAAAUACUGGCCGGAGACCGAUAGCGCACAAGUAGAGUGAUCGAAAGAUGAAAAGCACUUUGAAAAGAGAGUUAAACAGCACGUGAAAUUGUUGAAAGGGAAGCGUUUGCGACCAGACUCGCCCGCGGGGUUCAGCCGGCACUCGUGCCGGUGUACUUCCCCGUGGGCGGGCCAGCGUCGGUUUGGGCGGCCGGUCAAAGGCCCUCGGAAAGUAGCGCCCUUCGGGGAUUGUCUUAUAGCCGAGGGUGCAAUGCGGCCUGCCCGGACCGAGGAACGCGCUUCGGCUCGGACGCUGGCGUAAUGGUCGUAAAUGACC